GCUGCACCUGCUUCUCCUCCUGCUGCCUCCUUGCUUCUGGUGCUCCCUGCCCCGUGGCUCCGGCACUUCCCAGCCUCGGUGCCGCUGCUGAAGGUCUCUGAGCUAAAUCCUGGGGGCCUGCGAGCAGGGGUCGAGCUGAGCCACAGAUCCCUUCCCCGGGGACUGAUAAAUGUCUUGGAGAGCAGCUGGGGAGGGAAGGUUAGAAACGCAGAGGGGAAGUGUGAGGACGUGGUUGGAGUCCAGGGAAGUGAAAGAUGGAUUUGAUAUCUCAGCAGGUUCAGAAGUUCAGUCUUGACAAAGCUUUGGUGGUUUAGAUAAGCAUCUUUAUACAAGUGUGACCCUUUUGAAUCUUUGUUUCAACCUUUCCAUUUUUUUUCUUAAUUUUUUAUUUUUAGCUUGUUCUCCUUACUCCUUUUCCUAAGCUCUUAUUGCUUUCAAGGGACCCUUUUCUUCUCCUAAAUUGAAUCCAGGAGCUUGCUUCUGUUCCUUUCCUCCUCGUUUUACCCCCCCAGCAGACUGCGUUCCUUUUUGUUACAGCAUUGUCAAGUCACUUGUGGUGUUCAAAUCCUUGUGAUGUGCUAUAUGCCAGUGACAGAGCAUGUCUCGUAGUGCACAAGCAAUCCCAAGCACUCAGAAUUGAGAUGCACACCUGCAAGAAAAGCCAGAACUUCCAAUUUUGAUAAAAACUUCUCUGUGAAGAGAUGUCUCCAUUUCAGGAUGAAAUUCAUGCUCAGGGUGUGAGAGUUCAAGAAUACCAAUGUGGUCAGAUUAUUCAUCUCGGUCCAGGAAAUAUCACCUUUAUGCUUUUUCAUCUGAAUCAAGCAGAUCACAGGGACUGACUGGAGUCCCUGCAGCCCAGAUGAAAGUCCCGAUCAUUUAGCAAUAGACAAUGCUGGGAUAUGUGCUCGCUCGCUCUCUCUUUUUUUGUACCACACGGUAACGGAUCAGGGAAAAACAUGAUGACUGCUGAGAUCCUGCGGUGCACGAACAUAUGCUUCGUCGAUCUGCGCGGUGCUCAGCUCUCCACCCGGGUCUGCAUGCGGGAGCCUGGGCUGAGCAGGACCGAUACCGGUAGGUUCUGUGUUCACCGGGUAGCGUGGAAGCAAAGUGACCUUCAUCAGGUCCCUGUUGCUAAAAGGUG
RNAcentral lists this long non-coding RNA (1141 nucleotides) under Anser brachyrhynchus (Pink-footed goose). Its description in RNAcentral is "lncRNA (ENSABRG00000005964.1)". Lineage: Eukaryota; Metazoa; Chordata; Aves; Anseriformes; Anatidae. The record is from RNAcentral.